GAAGAGAAAUAGACUAGAACAUCAUAGGCUUAAUGAUCUUGUGUAUGUUCAUUACAACUUGCGAUUGAAGAAUAGGAGGGAUUACAAAACAAGGAAUUAUGAUCCCAUUGACAUUGAAAGCAUUGACAAAACCGAGUUUUGGAUUAUUGAAGAAAAAAGACUAGAACAAGAGGAGCCUCCAUUGCUUGAUUAUGAUGAGCUCGAAAAAAUGCUUUAUGAAGAAGAUGAGCCUCCACGAUAUAAGAAGCAAUGUCAUGGUCUACGAGAUGAUGAUGUUGAGGAUGAUAUGGAGGUAGAACUUCUUGGAGAUGAUAUCGACUUGGGAUCUUUUGGUGACGUGAACAUUGAUAAUAGAUCAAACAAUCCGAGCUCUAGUGCAAAUGCGAAUGAGAAUGAUGAUGAUGAUUGGCUAAAUUAUCGUCCCUAGGAGAUUUAGG
This is a non-coding RNA of Camellia sinensis, 437 nucleotides long. The record is from RefSeq and is a predicted model, not a curated record. Lineage: Eukaryota; Viridiplantae; Streptophyta; Magnoliopsida; Ericales; Theaceae.